CCCUUAGAUGUCCUGGGCCGCACGCGCGUUACACUGAUGCAUUAAACGAGCUUAUAACCUUGGCCGAGAGGCCUGGGCAAUCUUGUUAACGUGCAUCGUGAUAGGGAUAGAUUAUUGAAAUUAUUAAUCUUGAACGAGGAAUUCCUAGUAAACGCAGAUCAUCAAUCUGCAUUGAUUACGUCCCUGCCCUUUGUACACACCGCCCGUCGCACCUACCGAUUGGAUGGUCCGGUGAAGCCUCGGGAUUGUGGUUCUUGCCGCUUUAUUGUGGCGUGACCGCGAGAACUUGUCUAAACCUUAUCAUCUAGAGGAAGGUGAAGUCGUAACA
RNAcentral lists this ribosomal RNA (328 nucleotides) under uncultured eukaryote. Its description in RNAcentral is "partial 18S ribosomal RNA". It matches the Rfam family "Eukaryotic small subunit ribosomal RNA", at positions 1470 to 1796 of the family's 1831-position model. The record is from RNAcentral.